AUAUGAAAAUGCUAGCCUGUGAUAUCCCGACAACUGUUCAACUAAUGUGGAUUCCUUUCUCAGAAUUGGAUCUCCGCCAGCAGUUUCUCGUGACAUUAAGGGUGUCCCGUUGGUUUUUGAGUGGCUUGUGGAAUUCCGGAGUUGUCACCUAUGGGAGAAAUUGGAUCUUUAAGAAAAUUAAGGACACAACUGAUGACAUAAUGACAGUGAUAGUGUUUCCUAUUGUGGAGUUUUUAAUCCCUUACCCGGUAUCAUUGAGCUCAGAACAUGCCAUUUGCUAAUUCAGGUGAUUGGUUUUGAAUAAUGAAUUUUAGAAAUCUUUCUUGUUAUGAUACAGGUGAGGAUACAAUUGGGGAUGGCUUGGCCAGAGGAAAUAUUUGAGACAGUAGAAUCCACAUGGUACUUGAAAUGGCAAUCAGAUGCAGAAGCAAACUUCAAAUCUAGACAAACAGACGAUGAUGGUCAAUGGUUUAUUUGGUUUAUAAUCAGAACUGCUAUAUAUGGGUUUGUUUUGUAUCAUGUAUUCAAAUUUAUGAGGAGAAAAGUUCCACGUCUUCUUGGUUAUGGUCCUAUGCGAAAAGAUCCAAAUUGGCGGAAAUUGCGGCGAGUGGUAUAAGUUUAAUCUUGCAUCUUGUCUAGAUUCAUUUUCUGCCUAAUUUUCUAAUGGUUACCAUCCAAGGUUUGGAGAAUGCUUACAAUCCUAUUCCAUAUCUGUGUGCUUGCAGAAUCCAAAUUCCUUUUGGAGGCUAUUUUUUCAGUUUAGCUCCCUUGACUAAUAAAAAAUUGUGUUUAUUUGAAUUUGCUUGGGUUCAGGUUUUAAACGGAGCCUUCUAAUUUGCAAUAAAAGGUCCUUCUAAUUUGUUUGGUGGUGAUAAUCGUGGGAUUCUUGAUAUGUUUAAAGUUUGGAAUGCUCAAUGAGUCUUGUGUUACUGUUAUCCUACUGGUUCAUUCAGCUUGAUUUCACUCUGAACCUCUCCAUCAUCAGGCCCCCUACCAUCCACUGUUGCUACUGCUUCAGCCUCCUUAACUUAACAUAAGGCCCUUCAACCAUCAUGGUUUCAUACCUAGUAGACCAGUGUUUUCCUCCCAUUUUGCAUUCCCUAAUUCUCUUCAAUAAUAUUUUUUCUUUUAUUUAUACAAAGGGUCAUGGUACAGUUUGUAGGUUUGUUGCGGACCGGAGACAGGCCAGUGCAGAUUUCAUUGAUGUUAUCACUAUGAACAGUAGUGGCAGUCUGGCAGAGCCAUGUGGGGGGCCAGUGGAGGUAUGUGUGUUAUCCGAGUGAACUCUCCUCCCUUUGAAUCCUUCCUUCGCCUUGACAUUUUCACCUAUAUUCUUAAUCUGAAUCUUCCUCUCUUUAAUUCCGUCACCCAUUUUUACCUCCUCAACCUUCAUCAAUCUCCUCUCCUGACUUUUUAUCUUAGCCUCUUAGGUCCACUUCUGACCUCUAUCAUCAUUGCUGUCUCAUACUAAACUUUUGGGCCAAUCACUAUUUAUCAUUACCAAGUAGCAUACAUGUCACUUUCCACUUCCACUGACCAGUAUAUUCAUUCAUGUGGAUUGGCUUAAUGCCAGAUUUAUUACUUCACAUAUUUUAUGAACUUCUAAUUUCCGCAAGUCAAAGCAAAGUUUUAGUGCUAUUUUAUGUAAAUUUGAAAUAUUUGGGGACAUAAUCACUUUCUAACCAUUUUUGUGUGGCUUCUGCACAUUUUCUAAGGGGUGGGUUCCUUGUCAAAUCAGCAAAGAAGAAAUUUAUAAAGCUCUUGUAAAUUGAUAUCUUUAUGCUUCCCCCCCCCCCCCCUUGCUUCUUUUUUUUUUUUCGUGACAUUAAGGGUGUCCCGUUGGUUUUUGAGUGGCUUGUGGAAUUCCGGAGUUGUCACCUAUGGGAGAAAUUGGAUCUUUAAGAAAAUUAAGGACACAACUGAUGACAUAAUGACAGUGAUAGUGUUUCCUAUUGUGGAGUUUUUAAUCCCUUACCCG
RNAcentral lists this long non-coding RNA (1978 nucleotides) under Lotus japonicus. RNAcentral's name for it is "long non-coding RNA (LJAP_LNC002053)". Lineage: Eukaryota; Viridiplantae; Streptophyta; Magnoliopsida; Fabales; Fabaceae. The record is from RNAcentral.